GUGGGGAAUUUUGGACAAUGGGCGCAAGCCUGAUCCAGCAAUGCCGCGUGCAGGAAGAAGGCCUUCGGGUUGUAAACUGCUUUUGUACGGAACGAAACGGUUCUCUCUAAUACAAGGGGCUAAUGACGGUACCGUAAGAAUAAGCACCGGCUAACUACGUGCCAGCAGCCGCGGUAAUACGUAGGGUGCGAGCGUUAAUCGGAAUUACUGGGCGUAAAGCGUGCGCAGGCGGUGAUGUAAGACAGUUGUGAAAUCCCCGGGCUCAACCUGGGAACUGCAUCUGUGACUGCAUUGCUGGAGUGCGGCAGAGGGGGAUGGAAUUCCGCGUGUAGCAGUGAAAUGCGUAGAUAUGCGGAGGAACACCGAUGGCGAAGGCAAUCCCCUGGGCCUGCACUGACGCUCAUGCACGAAAGCGUGGGGAGCAAACAGGAUUAGAAACCCUUGUAGUCC
RNAcentral lists this ribosomal RNA (450 nucleotides) under uncultured bacterium. Its description in RNAcentral is "partial 16S ribosomal RNA". It matches the Rfam family "Bacterial small subunit ribosomal RNA", at positions 354 to 796 of the family's 1533-position model. The record is from RNAcentral.